RNAcentral lists this ribosomal RNA (577 nucleotides) under uncultured bacterium. RNAcentral describes it as "partial 16S ribosomal RNA". It matches the Rfam family "Bacterial small subunit ribosomal RNA", at positions 355 to 923 of the family's 1533-position model. The record is from RNAcentral.
UGGGGAAUUUUGGACAAUGGGCGAAAGCCUGAUCCAGCAAUGCCGCGUGUGUGAAGAAGGCCUUCGGGUUGUAAAGCACUUUUGUCCGGAAAGAAAUCCUUGGCUCUAAUACAGUCGGGGGAUGACGGUACCGGAAGAAUAAGCACCGGCUAACUACGUGCCAGCAGCCGCGGUAAUACGUAGGGUGCAAGCGUUAAUCGGAAUUACUGGGCGUAAAGCGUGCGCAGGCGGUUUGCUAAGACCGAUGUGAAAUCCCCGGGCUCAACCUGGGAACUGCAUUGGUGACUGGCAGGCUAGAGUAUGGCAGAGGGGGGUAGAAUUCCACGUGUAGCAGUGAAAUGCGUAGAGAUGUGGAGGAAUACCGAUGGUGAAGGCAGCCCCCUGGGCCAAUACUGACGCUCAUGCACGAAAGCGUGGGGGAGCAAACAGGAUUAGAUACCCUGGUAGUCCACGCCCUAAACGAUGUCAACUAGUUGUUGGGGGAUUCAUUUCCUUAGUAACGUAGCUAACGCGUGAAGUUGACCGCCUGGGGAGUACGGUCGCAAGAUUAAAACUCAAAUGAAUUGACGGGGUCAUA